RNAcentral lists this long non-coding RNA (941 nucleotides) under Hordeum vulgare. Its description in RNAcentral is "long non-coding RNA (HVUL_LNC012399)". The record is from RNAcentral. Lineage: Eukaryota; Viridiplantae; Streptophyta; Magnoliopsida; Poales; Poaceae.
AAUUUCUUUGAAAUUCAUAAACAAUCUGAGCAGCUAAGCUAAAGUGGAUAUUGUUUGACUCUGAAUAGUUAAGACCCAUGUCCAAAAUAUUAGUGGACGCGAGUCAUCUUCUAGUUUGUAUAUGCAUGUAAGUAUGUAACAUAUCAUUGCAAGCUAGUUGUACUAGCAGUGAUCACUUCCUUGACAAUCUUUCCAUGCAUAUCCUUGUGAAAUAAUUGUUGGGGGCGUCCCUUGUUCAUAUUAUGUUCCUUAUAGAAAAUGCAAUGGACGUUGAGAGAUGGUCCCAUGUUGAAGCCCCCCCGCCCCACCUUCACCUCCCCCUUUUGUCGCCUCUUGUUUUUUUGCUCUUCUCUCUUCCCUUUCAUCUACUCUCAAUCCUUAAAUUCCAUUUAUUGACGCCACCAUUUUGGACCAUGAUUGACUUGAGCGAGCUUAGAGAUCUCGUGAAGAGUGCUUUGUGGCAUGUUGAUGGAAAGGGCCAACUUUAAUCCAAAAAUCUGUUUGGAAAAUAUGAUGUGGGAUGCAAAUGAUAAAAUUGAUGAGUUUCUUAUACUGUUUGGAUUGGAUGUCCAAGAUUCACAUCAAACUAUCCUUACAAGUUCAAGGAUUAAAAAAAAACUUCAUUCAAAUUCCAAAGAUUAUAUGUGCGAGGAGAGAGGUGACGAGUGGGAGGGAGAGGAGGGAGGGGACGGGUGGGAGAGGGAGAUGACGGUACCGGAGUCGUUGCCGCCGGCUGCGCAGUCGCCAGGGAGGAACUCGCGAGGGGACGGGUCGGAGGGAGGGGACGGGGUCUAAGGGAGAGGAGGGAGAGGAGGGAUGUGAUGAGUGGGAGGGAGAGGAGGGAGGGGAUGGGUGAGAGAGGGAGAGGACGGUACUGAAUCGCCGCCGCCGGCUGCACAGUCGCCAGUGGAGGAACUCGCGAGGGGACGGCUCGAACCGAC